Molecule: ribosomal RNA, 1320 nt
Filed under: uncultured Alphaproteobacteria bacterium
Lineage: Bacteria; Pseudomonadati; Pseudomonadota; Alphaproteobacteria
Description: bacterial SSU rRNA
Rfam family: Bacterial small subunit ribosomal RNA
Source: RNAcentral
GAACGUACGCUGGCGGCACGCCUAACACAUGCAAGUCGAACGAAGUAGCAAUACUUAGUGGCAGACGGGUGAGUAACAUGUAGGUAUCUGCCCUUUGGCCUGGAAUAACACGAGGAAACUUGUGCUAAUACCGGAUAAGUCUUUACGGAGAAAGCUUUAUGCACCAUUGGAUGAGCCUGCACUUGAUUAGUUUGUUGGUAGGGUAAUGGCCUACCAAGACUAUGAUCAAUAGCUGAUUUGAGAGGAUGAUCAGCCACAUUGGGACUGAGACACGGCCCAAACUCCUACGGGAGGCAGCAGUGGGGAAUCUUGCACAAUGGAGGAAACUCUGAUGCAGCGAUGCCGCGUGAGUGAAGAAGGCCCUUGGGUUGUAAAGCUCUUUCGUCGGGGAAGAAAAUGACUGUACCCGAAUAAGAAGGUCCGGCUAACUUCGUGCCAGCAGCCGCGGUAAUACGAAGGGACCUAGCGUAGUUCGGAAUUACUGGGCUUAAAGAGUUCGUAGGUGGUUGAAAAAGUUGGUGGUGAAAUCCCAGAGCUUAACUCUGGAACUGCCAUCAAAACUUUUCAGCUAGAGUAUGAUAGAGGAAAGCAGAAUUUCUAGUGUAGAGGUGAAAUUCGUAGAUAUUAGAAAGAAUACCAAUUGCGAAGGCAGCUUUCUGGAUCAUUACUGACACUGAGGAACGAAAGCAUGGGUAGCGAAGAGGAUUAGAUACCCUCGUAGUCCAUGCCGUAAACGAUGUGUGUUAGACGUUGGAAAUUUAUUUUCAGUGUCGCAGCGAAAGCGAUAAACACACCGCCUGGGGAGUACGACCGCAAGGUUAAAACUCAAAUGAAUUGACGGGGACCCGCACAAGUAGUGGAGCAUGUGGUUUAAUUCGAAGAUACGCGCAGAACCUUACCAACACUUGACAUGUUCGUCGCGACUCUAAGAGAUUAGAGUUUUCGGUUCGGCCGGACGAAACACAGGUGCUGCAUGGCUGUCGUCAGCUCGUGUCGUGAGAUGUUGGGUUAAGUCCCGCAACGAGCGCAACCCUCACUUUUAGUUGCCAUCAUUAAGUUGGGCACUCUGAAAGAACUGCCAGUGAUAAGCUGGAGGAAGGUGGGGAUGACGUCAAGUCCUCAUGGCCCUUACGUGUUGGGCUACACACGUGCUACAAUGGUAUCUACAACAGGAAGCGAAACGGCAACGUUAAGCAAAUCCCGAAAAGAUACCUCAGUUCGGAUUGCACUCUGCAACUCGAGUGCAUGAAGCUGGAAUUACUAGUAAUCGUGGAUCAGCGUGCCACGGUGAAUGCGUUCCCGGGUCUUGUACUCACCGCC